RNAcentral lists this ribosomal RNA (254 nucleotides) under uncultured bacterium. Its description in RNAcentral is "partial 16S ribosomal RNA". It matches the Rfam family "Bacterial small subunit ribosomal RNA", at positions 524 to 776 of the family's 1533-position model. The record is from RNAcentral.
UACGGGGGGAGCAAGCGUUGUUCGGAUUUACUGGGCGUAAAGGGCGCGUAGGCGGCCAGCACAAGUCAGUUGUGAAAUCUCCGGGCUUAACUCGGAAAGGUCAACUGAUACUGUGCGGCUAGAGUGCAGAAGGGGCAACUGGAAUUCUCGGUGUAGCGGUGAAAUGCGUAGAUAUCAGGAGGAAUACCGGUGGCGAAAGCGACUCUCUGGACGGCAACUGACGCUGAGGCACGAAAGCGUGGGGAGCAAACAGG